RNAcentral lists this ribosomal RNA (442 nucleotides) under bacterium dtb81. RNAcentral describes it as "bacterial SSU rRNA". It matches the Rfam family "Bacterial small subunit ribosomal RNA", at positions 9 to 497 of the family's 1533-position model. The record is from RNAcentral.
GAGUUUGAUCCUGGCUCAGAACGAACGCUGGCGGCAGGCCUAACACAUGCAAGUCGAACGCCCUAGCAAUAGGGAGUGGCAGACGGGUGAGUAACGCGUGGGAAUCUACCUUGUGGUACGGAACAACCAAGGGAAACUUUGGCUAAUACCGUAUGAGCCCUUCGGGGGAAAGAUUUAUCGCCAUAAGAUGAGCCCGCGUAGGAUUAGCUAGUUGGUGAGGUAAUGGCUCACCAAGGCGACGAUCCUUAGCUGGUCUGAGAGGAUGACCAGCCACACUGGGACUGAGACACGGCCCAGACUCCUACGGGAGGCAGCAGUGGGGAAUAUUGGACAAUGGGCGCAAGCCUGAUCCAGCCAUGCCGCGUGUGUGAUGAAGGCCUUAGGGUUGUAAAGCACUUUCGCCGAUGAAGAUAAUGACUGUAGUCGGAGAAGAAGCCCCGGC